This is a non-coding RNA of Acanthosepion pharaonis, 115 nucleotides long. The record is from the annotation of a GenBank genome assembly. Lineage: Eukaryota; Metazoa; Mollusca; Cephalopoda; Sepiida; Sepiidae.
UUACGGCCAUAUCACGAUGAAACACCGGUUCCUCUUACGAUCACCGCAGUUAAGCAACGUCGAUCCUGGUCAGUUCAUAGAUGGGUGACGCCUUGGGAAUAAAAGGUGCUGGAAG